RNAcentral lists this ribosomal RNA (468 nucleotides) under uncultured bacterium. Its description in RNAcentral is "partial 16S ribosomal RNA". It matches the Rfam family "Bacterial small subunit ribosomal RNA", at positions 28 to 507 of the family's 1533-position model. The record is from RNAcentral.
GACGAACGCUGGCGGCGUGCUUAACACAUGCAAGUCGAACGGAAAGGCCCUGCUUUUGUGGGGUGCUCGAGUGGCGAACGGGUGAGUAACACGUGAGUAACCUGCCCUUGACUUUGGGAUAACUUCAGGAAACUGGGGCUAAUACCGGAUAGGAGCUCCUGCUGCAUGGUGGGGGUUGGAAAGUUUCGGCGGUUGAGGAUGGACUCGCGGCUUAUCAGCUUGUUGGUGGGGUAGUGGCUUACCAAGGCUUUGACGGGUAGCCGGCCUGAGAGGGUGACCGGCCACAUUGGGACUGAGAUACGGCCCAGACUCCUACGGGAGGCAGCAGUGGGGAAUGUUGCACAAUGGGCGGAAGCCUGAUGCAGCAACGCCGCGUGCGGGAUGACGGCCUUCGGGUUGUAAACCGCUUUCGCCUGUGACGAAGCGUGAGUGACGGUAAUGGGUAAAGAAGCACCGGCUAACUACGUG